GCAUCUUAAAAGGCAGCCUUCAAGGCCUUUGUGGGCCAACAUGUGGGUGCAGCUUUCAACGAUGGGGUCUGGAGCUCACCUCCUGCUGUUCCUGCUGCUCUGGGCUCCAGGCUCCGCUGGGGACAUUGUGCUGACCCAGUCUCCAGCCUCCUUGGCUGUGUCUCCAGGACAGAAGGCCAUCAUCUCCUGCAGGACCAGCGAGAGUGUUGAUGCAUCUUUGGGCGAGUUUGGUAGUAUAAGUUUUAUGGCCUGGUAUCAACAGAAGCCAGGACAGCCUCCCAAAGUUCUGAUCUAUGAAGGGUCCAGUCGAGCCCCAGGGGUCCCAGCCCGGUUCACCGGCAGUGGGUCUGGGACAGACUUCACCCUCACCAUUCAGCCUGUGGAGCCCGAGGAUGCGGCAAACUAUUACUGUCAGCAGAACAAACAGAUCCCUCCCACAGUGCUCCAGCUCUGA
Non-coding RNA from Octodon degus (degu), 454 nucleotides. NCBI's taxonomy places the organism in Eukaryota, Metazoa, Chordata, Mammalia, Rodentia, Octodontidae. The record is from the annotation of a RefSeq genome assembly.